RNAcentral lists this long non-coding RNA (1661 nucleotides) under Brassica napus (rape). RNAcentral describes it as "long non-coding RNA (BNAP_LNC009281)". The record is from RNAcentral. Lineage: Eukaryota; Viridiplantae; Streptophyta; Magnoliopsida; Brassicales; Brassicaceae.
AUAAUUAUCCUAACAAAUUGAUAAUUAUCUGAGAUAUGAAAUAUUAAUAAAACCAAUUCAUAAAAACACCAAAGUCGGUUUAACCAAAGCAAUGACAUAAUCCUGUCACAAACCCUAUCAAUCUAUAUCUGCUACCAUAAAAAACCAAGACUUUAUAUCAUUAAAUACAAACCCUUUUCCCUAAAUCCAAUUAAAAUUAUAUGAAAAAAAUCCAAAAACACUGUUAUCAUCAUCAAAAGAAUCCCAUACGGUAUCCGACGGAGGUAGCUUCUUCUUCCAUACGGAAUCCGACUAAGCAUCUGAGGAUCGAACCAUUAAGAACACUGAUGUUGCAAAUCUUUGGCGGCGUUAGGUGGUGCAGAAAAGAGGGAUUGAAGAAUAAGAAAGAGUUCUUAUGCGCUGUCACCAAAUGAAAGGAAUAAUUUCCCUUUCGAUACCAAAUCUCCAACACAACAAUCUUUUUAUUUGUUCCAUCACCGCCUACGAAAAUCCCGAUUCGAAAACCCUAACUUACAAUCAUGGUCAUGGAGAAGGAAAAUGUAACGCCCCCACCCGCCCACGGCUAAUAGGCCACCCACGCCCGCUCACUCGGCCCGCGGACCCCAUCCCCAUCCGACGUGUGGUGCAUUAAUUUUCCAUGGCUCGAAAUCAUUGUUUACUGACUCUGCAAUCACCACAUGAUCUUUCCCCGUGCUUUGGCCUCACUCGCACGCUAUCGCGAAUCACUUCCCGAUAGGUCAUCCAUCCUUUCACUACUCCAGCUCAAGCACGCUUAACUCUGAAGUUCUAAACGGAUGUGUGACGGAAAAGGUAAGUCAACUUUGGUGACAUAGGUAGCCAAAUCAAUUCUCUUAAGCCUUUUCACAUAUCACAACUCGGGAUGUUACAAUUCACCCCCUCUCAAAGAACGCAACGAGGACGUUGCGCUCCACGACAGGUCUCAAGACGCCCUCCCCCAUCCGACGUGUGGUGCAUUAAUUUUCCAUGGCUCGAAAUCAUUGUUUACUGACUCUGCAAUCACCACAUGAUCUUUCCCCGUGCUUUGGCCUCACUCGCACGCUAUCGCGAAUCACUUCCCGAUAGGUCAUCCAUCCUUUCACUACUCCAGCUCAAGAUCCCCUUUUCAUUUUAUUUUGUCCCACAUUGGAAGUUUAGAAAACCUUCCUCCAUUCCCUUCUCCUAUAUAAGGAACUCUACCCUUUCUUUUCAUUCUCAUCAAGUCAAAGUAUUUCUUUGCACGUGACGAGUUGUUGUUGAAUUAUCUGACGACCAGUCGCUAGUGAAUUUUUCCGGUGGGAUUUCCGGGUGAAGAACUGAGAUGGCUAACCAGCUCUGAUACCACUUGUAACGCCCCACCCGCCCACGGCUAAUGGGCCACCCACGCCCACUCACUCGGCCCGUGGGUCCCAUCCCCAUCCGACGGGUGGUGCAUUAAUUUUUCAUUGCUCGAAAUCAUUGUUUACUGACCCUGCAAUCACCACAUGACCUUUCCCCGUGCUUUGGCCUCACUCGCACGCUAUCGCGAAUCACUUCCCGAUAGGUCACCCAUCCUUCCACUACUCCAGCUCAAGCACGCUUAACUCUAGAGUUCUUUCAGGAUGUGUUCCAGAAAAGGUAAGUCAAUUUUGGUGACAUAGGUAGCCAAAUCAAUUCUCUUAAGC